AUUGAACGCUGGCGGCAGGCCUAACACAUGCAAGUCGAGCGGAUGACGAGAGCUUGCUCUCUGAUUCAGCGGCGGACGGGUGAGUAAUGCCUAGGAAUCUGCCUGGUAGUGGGGGACAACGUUUCGAAAGGAACGCUAAUACCGCAUACGUCCUACGGGAGAAAGCAGGGGGACCUUCGGGCCUUGCGCUAUUAGAUGAG
RNAcentral lists this ribosomal RNA (200 nucleotides) under uncultured bacterium. RNAcentral describes it as "partial 16S ribosomal RNA". It matches the Rfam family "Bacterial small subunit ribosomal RNA", at positions 30 to 229 of the family's 1533-position model. The record is from RNAcentral.